UCAUUUACACAUGAAGUCAAGUGGCCUAUACUGUAGUGUAAUUAUUACUCCUUAAAUUAUGAUAUCCUACAGUUAUUGUUAACUAUAAUAAAGGUAAUGAUAAAAUGAUAAUAUCUAAAAUUGAAGUGAGUUGGUUAUAUAAAACUAUUUACAAUAAGAUAUUCGUCAGAUUCCAACGAAUCUUUAAUGCUGCUGCGCAGAAUCUAGCUACCUGUGCUGUGACUGUGGUCUGUUCGUCUUUGAGCAGGAUCUGUAGAUAGUCGGAAUCAGAGCAGCCGGGAUACCUAUUAAUCAUCGGAUGAAUAAAUUUUGUUCGAAUGUCUCUAUAGAAUGAACAUCAAAGAAGGACGCGGCCAGUGGUUUCUACCUCUCCAGAAGCACAGGGACGGAGCCUUUCGGCCAAUGGUAUCUUUUUGUAUUUGCUAUCCAGAACAGCUAAGAGGAGCACGUGGCAUCAUGCAAGUGAAAAGGCUUUCCGAUGGUCUCUAACUGGCUAAGAUAUCUGGCAGGGUUGACAAUGUAUUUGGUAUAGUCUGGAGAGAGGAAUGAUGGAACCUUCUCUAAGUCUGUUGGUCUCUCUAUGUCCCCUUAAUCUCAAAUUUUGUUUUGCUUGUUCAUAGUCCAAUUCAAGUAUUGAGGAAGGUGAAAAACCUAGUUUUGCAAGGCUUGACUAAACAGCCUU
Python bivittatus (Burmese python) is the source of this 682-nucleotide non-coding RNA. The record is from RefSeq and is a predicted model, not a curated record. NCBI's taxonomy places the organism in Eukaryota, Metazoa, Chordata, Lepidosauria, Squamata, Pythonidae.